CCUACGGGGGGCUGCAGUGGGGGAUAUUGCACAAUGGGGGGAACCCUGAUGCAGCGACGCCGCGUGGGUGAAGGAGGGCUUCGGCAUGUAAAGCCCUAUCGGCAGGGAAGAAGCAAGACGGUACCUGACGAAGAAGCCCCGGCUAACUACGUGCCAGCAGCCGCGGUAAGACGUCGGGGGCGAGCGUGAUCCGGAUCAACGGGGUGGAAAGGGAGCGUAGACGGCCAAGCAAGCCAGGGGUGAAAGCCCGGGGCCCAACCCCGGGACUGCCCUUGGAACUGAAUGGCUGGAGUGCGGGAGGGGCAGGCGGCAUUCCUGUUGUAGCGGUGACAUGCGUAGAUAUCAGGAG
This 349-nucleotide ribosomal RNA is filed under the name uncultured bacterium. Its description in RNAcentral is "partial 16S ribosomal RNA". It matches the Rfam family "Bacterial small subunit ribosomal RNA", at positions 338 to 703 of the family's 1533-position model. The record is from RNAcentral.